Molecule: ribosomal RNA, 396 nt
Filed under: Globisporangium abappressorium
Lineage: Eukaryota; Oomycota; Peronosporomycetes; Pythiales; Pythiaceae
Description: Pythium abappressorium partial small subunit ribosomal RNA
Rfam family: Eukaryotic small subunit ribosomal RNA
Source: RNAcentral
GCUUGUCUCAAAGAUUAAGCCAUGCAUGUCUUAGUGUAAAUAACUCUUAUGAAACUGCGAAUGGCUCAUUAAAUCAGUUAUCGUUUAUUUGAUGGUCCCUUACUACAUGGAUAACCGUAGUAAUUCUAGAGCUAAUACAUGCAUGAAUACCCAACUGCUUGUCGGGCGGGUAGCAUUUAUUAGAUUGAAACCAAUGCAGCUUCGGCUGGUAUUGUGUUGAAUCAUAAUAACUGUGCGGAUCGUACUUUGUGCGAUAAAUCGAUUGAGUUUCUGCCCUAUCAGCUUUGGAUGGUAGGAUAUGGGCCUACCAUGGCAUUAACGGGUAACGGGGAAUUAGGGUUUGAUUCCGGAGAGGGAGCCUUAGAAACGGCUACCACAUCCAAGGAAGGCAGCAGG